GACGAACGCUGGCGGCGUGCUUAACACAUGCAAGUCGAACGAUGAAGCCCAGCUUGCUGGGUGGAAGAGUGGCGAACGGGUGAGUAACACGUGAGUAACCUGCCCUGAACUCUGGGAUAAGCACUGGAAACGGUGUCUAAUACUGGAUACGACCUAUCACCGCAUGGUGUGUGGGUGGAAAGAUUUAUCGGUUUUGGAUGGACUCGCGGCCUAUCAGCUAGAUGGUGAGGUAAUGGCUCACCAUGGCGACGACGGGCAGCCGGCCUGAGAGGGUGACCGGCCACACUGGGACUGAGACACGGCCCAGACUCCUACGGGAGGCAGCAGUGGGGAAUAUUGCACAAUGGGCGCAAGCCUGAUGCAGCAACGCCGCGUGAGGGAUGACGGCCUUCGGGUUGUAAACCUCUUUUAGUAGGGAAGAAGCGAAAGUGACGGUACCUGCAGAAAAAGCACCGGCUAACUACGUGCCAGCAGCCGCGGUAAUACGUAGGGUGCAAGCGUUGUCCGGAAUUAUUGGGCGUAAAGAGCUCGUAGGCGGCUUGUCGCGUCUGCUGUGAAAUCCCGGGGCUCAACCCCGGGCCUGCAGUGGUACGGGCAAGCUAGAGUGCGGUAGGGGAGAUUGGAAUUCCUGGUGUAGCGGUGGAAUGCGC
This 650-nucleotide ribosomal RNA is filed under the name uncultured bacterium. Its description in RNAcentral is "bacterial SSU rRNA". It matches the Rfam family "Bacterial small subunit ribosomal RNA", at positions 28 to 691 of the family's 1533-position model. The record is from RNAcentral.